This 645-nucleotide long non-coding RNA is filed under the name Capsicum annuum. Its description in RNAcentral is "long non-coding RNA (CANN_LNC020472)". The record is from RNAcentral. Lineage: Eukaryota; Viridiplantae; Streptophyta; Magnoliopsida; Solanales; Solanaceae.
AAUUUCCACUUUUAUCUCUCAAUCUGUUGGUAAACAUUGUGCUCCAUAGUAUUUGCAUCUCAUCUUUUCAUAUAAUUUGUAUUUGUUUACUUUUUCGUAUUGCUUUCUUCUUCGUUUUUUUUUGUUUUGGUGUUUUUUCAGCCAAGGGAUGCCGUUUUCGGCUAUGGGUGGGCUGGUGAUUUCAAUGGGACUCGCCGAUUUUCGCGUUUUCCAAUGAAUUUUUUAGGGAGAAAGGGUCUAUUCGGCAGAUUUCACCGUGACGGUGAUCGGCAGCGACAGUAAUAGUGUUUUACCGGCGAGUAUUAGCCAAAAUCGAUCACAGGAGUUGAAUUUUAGACAGUGGUUCGCUGAUUUUGCAGUUCUAGUGAGGGACGGGCUUGGCCAUUAUUUUUAUAGUUUUUUCGGUGAUGUUUGUAUUUGGUACUGAUAAGAUUUGUAUUUGUUAUAGUGUAGAUAUGUAUUUGUAUUUGGUAUUGUAAGAUUUGUAUUUGUUACAGUAUAGAUAUAUAUUUCUUUUGUUUUUAAUCUUAUAAUUUAUGGACAAUAUGUUCAUAUAUGAAUUUUUAUCUUUAUAGUGUGAAGAUAUGUGUCUGUUAAAUUUAAGAUAUGUAUUUGUAUUUUAGGAAUUAUAUAAGAUGUAUUUGU